GAUGAACGCUGGCGGUGUGCCUAAUACAUGCAAGUCGAGCGAACAGACGAGGAGCUUACUCCUCUGACGUUAGCGGCGGACGGGUGGGUAACACGUGGAUAACCUACCUAUAAGACUGGGAUAACUUCGGGAAACCGGAGCUAAUACCGGAUAACAUGUUGAACCGCAUGGUUCAACAGUGAAAGACGGUCUUGCUGUCACUUAUAGAUGGAUCCGCGUCGCAUUAGCUAGUUGGUAAGGUAACGGCUUACCAAGGCAACGAUGCGUAGCCGACCUGAGAGGGUGAUCGGCCACACUGGAACUGAGACACGGUCCAGACUCCUACGGGAGGCAGCAGUAGGGAAUCUUCCGCAAUGGGCGAAAGCCUGACGGAGCAACGCCGCGUGAGUGAAGAAGGUCUUCGGAUCGUAAAACUCUGUUAUUAGGGAAGAACAAAUGUGUAAGUAACUAUGCACGUCUUGACGGUACCUAAUCAGAAAGCCACGGCUAACUACGUG
Molecule: ribosomal RNA, 497 nt
Filed under: uncultured bacterium
Lineage: Bacteria
Description: partial 16S ribosomal RNA
Rfam family: Bacterial small subunit ribosomal RNA
Source: RNAcentral